AAAUGAAUAGACGGGAGCUUCUUCCAAGCGGUGGAGCAUGUGUUUUAAUCCGAUAACCCACGGAUAACCUUACCAACUUUUGACUGCAGUUAUCAACUUGCCGGUAACGGAAGUUUGGGUCUGCACAGGUGCUGCAUGGCUGUCGUCAGUUCGUAAUUGUGAAAUCGUUAAUUAAAUUUAAGUAACGGACGCAAUCCCUUCGAUCAAACGUCAUUAAUUGUGAUUUUGGUCGAAAUACAGCUGGAACAGCGGGUGGAAGCAAGGGACCACGUCAAGUCAUUAUGGCCUUUAUAAGUUGGGCUAGGCAUGUGCUACAAUGGGGGAGACAAUGAGAGGCAAAGGCAGCAACCGGAGCAAAUCUUUAAAGACCCCCUAAGUUCGGAUUGUUCUCUGAAAUUCGAGAGCAUGAAGUCGGAAUCGCUAGUAAUCGCAGAUCAGCAUGCUGCGGUGAAUUUGUUCUACAGCUUUGUACACACCGCCCGU
This 483-nucleotide ribosomal RNA is filed under the name uncultured bacterium. RNAcentral's name for it is "bacterial SSU rRNA". It matches the Rfam family "Bacterial small subunit ribosomal RNA", at positions 903 to 1397 of the family's 1533-position model. The record is from RNAcentral.